UCCCUGGCAAUCCAAUGGUUAGGAUUCUGUGCUUCCAUUGCAGGGGCCCAGGUUCAAUUCCUAGCUGGGGAA
This is a non-coding RNA of Bos taurus (domestic cattle), 72 nucleotides long. The record is from Rfam. NCBI's taxonomy places the organism in Eukaryota, Metazoa, Chordata, Mammalia, Artiodactyla, Bovidae.